RNAcentral lists this ribosomal RNA (253 nucleotides) under uncultured bacterium. Its description in RNAcentral is "partial 16S ribosomal RNA". It matches the Rfam family "Bacterial small subunit ribosomal RNA", at positions 524 to 776 of the family's 1533-position model. The record is from RNAcentral.
UACGAAGGGGGCGAGCGUUGUUCGGAUUUACUGGGCGUAAAGGGCGCGCAGGCGGCUUUGUUUGUCAGGCGUGAAAGCCCCCAGCUCAACUGGGGAAGUGCCUCUGAUACUGGUCGCCUCGAGGGAGGUAGGGGCGUGCGGAACUUCCGGUGGAGCGGUGAAAUGCGUAGAUAUCGUAAGGAAGACCAGUGGCGAAGGCGGGUCUCUGGACAGUUCCUGACGCUGAGGCACGAAGGUCAGGGGAGCAAACGGG